AUGUAACAUCCCUUUUCAUUUGUAUAUGUAUUUCUAGUUGAUCAUAUAAAUUCAUUUAAAGCAUAAAAGACAAGUUAAAAGAGCAACGGGCGUAUCAUGCACUAAAGCGCAGCCCUUUAUUUUAAUCCUUUGUCAAAUUUAAUAGUUGCGUAAAAAUUUUGUAAAAAAGCAAAAGAGUUUAUGUUCUACAUUUGGUCCGAGUACAGUUAUCAUCCCUUGAUUUUCGUUGUCCACGAAUAUAGUUGCUAGUGUGGACAGUGUGUUACUUAACAAUCUUUUUUACAUCCCUUCCAAUUUAUAUCUUCAUGUUUUAUGCUUCAAAUAGCAAGUAGGGGGAUAAAACUACACUGUGAAAAAAUUUGAUUCAUGAAUUUUAAAAUAAAGCAGUGAUUUGGUCCAGCUGAAAAAGGUUAAAAAUAAGUAUUUCGGAAGUUGUCAAAAGAUUUAAAGACCCCCUGAACAUUAAAUUGUCCAUAUUUAGAGUUAGAGCUGAUAAAGUUUUCUAUAAUUUUGAUAUAAUUUGUUCCUAAAGUAAUACAUAACACUGUACAAAUAUUAUUUAGAAAGUGCAGGUUGGAUUUUUUUAUUUCCAUUUAUUGUCUAAAAGAAAUGCACUACGAAAUAACUGUGUACUCGGACCAUUUAACAUUCCUUGUUAUUGCUUAAUAUUUAAGUAUCAUUAUUGAUAAGUAUUAAAUUUUUAGUAUUAUUUGUGUAUUGUAUGGUGUUUUAAUUUUGUAUUGUAUGUAACAAGACUAAUAUAAGAGUUUUGCUCAAUGUCAAAGGCAGUACAGUGACCAUUAGUUGUUAACUUCUGUCAUUUGGUUUCUGGUAGAGAGUUGUCCUAUUGGCAAUCAUACCACAUCUUCUUAUUUUAUAGGUGGUUAAAUUUGUAGAGUACAAACAUGUAUGCAAUACAUCCUUAUUAUAUACUAUAGAUACUUAAAUUAUUUAUUUGUUGAAUUAUCAAUCAAAUUAUAUAUUUUUAUAAUUGUUGAAUAAAAAUUAUUACAUAUAUUUAUUAUUCAGUUGUUCUUAACUCCAUUUUAUGUUCUGAAUUUAAAGAGAAGGAUCAACUUAUGCUUAUUAAUAUGAUCAAACUCGACAACCACAGAAUUUCAAUGUCAUUUGGACCAUGUAACCUCAGUUAUCUGUUGUCUUCUGGUUGCCAUUCAAAAGUCUUAAACUUUUCUCUGUAUUUUUUGUGCUAAUUUUUUUUUUGAUCAAAAUUGUAUUUUAGGUUUUGUUCCAUCAAGAAAUUUGUUAGAAAUAGUGUGACUAGAAAUAGAAC
Molecule: long non-coding RNA, 1291 nt
Filed under: Mytilus galloprovincialis (Mediterranean mussel)
Lineage: Eukaryota; Metazoa; Mollusca; Bivalvia; Mytilida; Mytilidae
Source: RNAcentral